Aethalodelphis obliquidens (Pacific white-sided dolphin) is the source of this 2672-nucleotide long non-coding RNA. RefSeq lists it as uncharacterized. The transcript is spliced from 3 exons. The record is from RefSeq and is a predicted model, not a curated record. NCBI's taxonomy places the organism in Eukaryota, Metazoa, Chordata, Mammalia, Artiodactyla, Delphinidae.
AUAUAUAUAUAUAUAUAUAUAUGUAUAUAUAUAUAUAUAUAUAUGAAAUGGAGGAAAGAGAGCAUAUCAGAAGUCUUUCCUUACAGGAAGGUUUCAAUAAGUAUGUUUUCCCUCUUCUGAAAGAUUGCUCAAACACAUUUUAAUUCCUCUAAAGUGCUCAUUUUGAGAAAUUGUCUACAAAAAUAAAUUCUUCCCUCUGAAUUUUUUUCAUAUUCAUAUAGUCUUGUUCCUGUGUUCUCUAUGGAAAAAUGAGUAUCUCAGCCACCUGGGAUAUUAUUAUAGUUGAGGACUGUCAUCAAGAGGAAUGUGUAAUUGCAAUUAUCCUUAGCUCCAAAGGAGUUCGCAAUGGACACAUAAAAUAAAUUGAUUUGUACAAAUGGUAGAGCCAAAGAGGAAUCUUUAGAACUAGGUGUUGGCAGAAUUAUUUCAUUCAUUUGUGCUAAGUGCCCUCUCCUGGUCACUGUGAGUAACGUGCAGGAGCUUAUUCUUUUUCUAGAUCUGCUUUGCUAUGAAACAUGGUAUGUGCAACUAUACAUAUAUACUCCAUGCUGGGCUUCCUAUAUGAGGAAAGAAAUCUGGAGAAAAGUGACUCUCAACCUUACAAGAGUUAGAGUCUUAUUUCCCUCCCUCAUCCUAGUACCUUUGACCAUCAAGUUAUAUUUAAUUAGCCUUGUAUGGGAGGGUAAUACUUUUGUUUGUUGACCAGCGUGCUCUUCUCUUUUCCUCAUGACUUCACCAUCGAUCCAAGGGAAUCCUGCAUAUGACCUGUUUGUACGUGACAAGAGUGAUGUGUGGAAUAGGAAGCCAGCCUAGAACUUGAGCAGGACAAAUGUGUCAUCUGUUUUGUCAUGGCUGGUCUUGAGCAAUAGAACCUGUGGUGGCCAUAGAGAGGAAUGGGAAGGGCACCAACCUGCAGGUCAGAAGGUGAUAUUCACACGCAAGUAUACUUCUGUAAAUGCAUAGACUUCCUGGAAGAAUGCACAAGAAACUGGUAACAGAGGUUGCUGCUGCAGUAGGUCCUGAAGUGGGAACCUGGUCUCAGAAUACAGCGCUCCCUGCCAACCAGCUGCCAUCUCUCCCCACCCAGUCAGUCUGGUGAUCAACAGCAUCCACGUCAGGAACUGCAGGCUGUGCCUUAGGUUUUGAACUCUUCUUGGAUGGAUAUUUAUAUUUAUCAGGUCUUGAAGUCAAGCCGAGGAAUUUGUACUCUCAAUGGGAUGGUUAAGAGAGAAGAACAUUUGUAAUAGGUGGGAGGGUGACUGUGUUAGAUGCAUCAGAGUCAUUUUGGGUAAUGGGAACUGAGAAAUACUCCAGGAUGAGUUGAUCAGAAUGGCACUCAUGAUGUUCUAGGAUGAUGCUUCAGUGAGAGAAGAGGAUAGGAACCAGAAGAUAGGCAAAGAGAAUGUUUAAAAUGAAGGGAGAUAUGAGGAGAAUGGGGGCAGUGGCUUAGACUCCUCUUUAUGAAGAAGAUGGUGGGUGCACACAGCAUAUACAGGUUGUUUUUAAGACAGAGGACACCUGAGACUCUGAUGGUUGGGGGGAAGAAGCCAUUAGAAUAGAAGAGGUGCUAGAGAGGAGGGACCAACCAAGGAAGCAAAAUACCAGAGAAGAAACAUCCCUCCCCUUGAGACUUGUGGAAAGAAGUAGAAUAAGAGGAAAUUCCCUUAUAAUUUACUGUUUUCAAUUAAAAAGUUGAAAUGCCCUUCAUAAAAUGCACAUGAGAAAGUAAAAUAUGAGACUGUUAUCAGCCAGGAACACUCUAAUUUAAACCAGCUUGAGAAAUCUGUGGGUAAUAAACUCGUGAUUAAGUAUUUAUUAAACUUUUAUUGUUCACAUGCCCUAAGCGUUUGGACUUCUGCCAAUACUCUGAAAAGAAAGACAAAAUUAUUUCAAAAUGUUUACAUUAUAUUAAAUAGAAAACUUUGAGUAUUAAUCUGGACUUAACAUCUUGUAACUUUUAGUCAUCUUCAACCAAGCUGGUCGCUAUUAUCUCUUACAACGAAAAAGGUGUGUGCCCAAUUAAGUGGUUGAAUAUUGACUAAGCACCUACGACUUACAAGUACUAGUGUUCAGUCCUGGUUUAGUGGCUGUCAGAAAAAUGGUGGAGGAACAGGGUGGAGAGCUGUGCCAGGAUGGCCUGGAGAGCCAGAAAUGUGAUGAGCUGUCCAGACGCACAGCAAAUAUUUAAAGCCUAGAAUCUCAGGCCCUUGAAACAGGAGGUUUUAUAGCACAGUAUAUACAAAAUAUUUUAUUAUCAGUGGAGUAGUGGAUAUAAUACUGAAGAAACAUCCUCUGUUCGUAGGAAGGGAGAUCAAAAGAAAGAAAUCCUUCUCUUUGGCAAUGUUUUCGUUGUGCCAAAGAUAAAGCAAGGGAGUCCUUUGACGAACUUUUUAUUGGAGUCUGAGUUUAAAUAUGUGGCACAUAAACAAAUAACAAUCUCCUCAGCUUAGACUCCUCAUCAGUUUAAAAUAGACCAAUAAUAUCUUCUUGCCUGAAGACGGUUGGCUGGGCUGGAUGCUAUUUUUAAAGUCCACUUGAGCGCCAAGAUUUCUAUUUCUAUGAUAAAACCAGUCUGAUGCAUAGAAAAUAUAAUGCAUUUAUUGUUCCUUUUCUUUUUUUUCUUUUUUUUUUUUUUUUUGUGGUACGCGGGCCUCUCACUGUUGUGGCCUCUC